GAAAGCAGCACCAACCGCCCGUCCACCCGCUCGGCCCCUGCCCCCUCCAGCCACCCUCUGGGGCGACCCGAGACACGCAAGCCUGGAGUCCAGACAGGUCAGCGGAAGUGACGUCAGGGCCUCCCUCUUCUGUGGCUUCUCCCGUUACGGAGGACAGGCUCCGGACGCGCAGGCUCAGCGGCCAUGGCUCACGGGCCCAGCCGCUGCGCGGCAUGUGGGUUCUUCCCAGACCGGGGCGCGAACCCGGUUCCCCUGCAUCAGCAGGCGGACGCGCAACCGCUGCGCCACCAGGGAAGCCCAGGAUGUACACUCUUAACUUUCAUAUAUAACAAA
Long non-coding RNA from Physeter macrocephalus (sperm whale), 333 nucleotides. RefSeq lists it as uncharacterized. The record is from RefSeq and is a predicted model, not a curated record. The transcript is spliced from 3 exons. NCBI's taxonomy places the organism in Eukaryota, Metazoa, Chordata, Mammalia, Artiodactyla, Physeteridae.